This 645-nucleotide long non-coding RNA is filed under the name Helianthus annuus (common sunflower). RNAcentral's name for it is "hypothetical non coding rna". The record is from RNAcentral. Lineage: Eukaryota; Viridiplantae; Streptophyta; Magnoliopsida; Asterales; Asteraceae.
UCAAAUCUGAAAUCAUGAAAAUCUUACAUAUUUGAGUAGCGAAGGUUGUAUGAUUAUGUGGUUGAUUUUUGUAAUUUACUCUUUUGUUUAUAAAGUUAAAAAAAGAGUGAAAGAGGUAACCGGGUUAGUAAUCCCAGGUCCUGGUCUCGUUGAUUUACCAAAACCACCUCAGCAAAAACUUGUUGAAAGGGGUUGAAAGGUCGAUGCUGGUGAUGAGUAGAAACGGAUCUGAACAGUAGCAGCGAACAACACCCAGAUCUAUAACUGCAGCAACAAGCAAGUGAUCUAAUGGCAGGAGGAUGUGACAUUAAAUUGGAGGGGAAGGGAUGAUAGGAAAAGGCAAAGUUGGUCUAUGAAAAAGCAAUGGAAAUGAGGGUAAAUAGGACAAAACGCCGUUGGAGGUUAAGCCGAUGACCGUACAUAACACUGUUCUGAUGAAGAGCGAUUAAGUUGUGGUGUGAUUGGUAGGAUGGUUGAGUAGAUUUGGGGAAGAUAUUGGGGUUUAGAUCUGGAAUUGGGUUUUUUUUGAAUCUGGUGGUGGUGGCGGUGGUGGUGAGAGGUGGUGGUUGGUGAUGGAGAGAGAGGGAAUGAGAGGUAGAAUGGUGGUUUUUGUAAUUUACUCUUUUUAUAAUGAUUUAUUUUAAC